AUGAUUGAAGACUUGCUGGAUGAACUCAAUGGAGCAACCAUUUUUACCAAAAUAGAUCUCCGAAGUGGCUACCACCAAAUUAGAAUGAAGGAAGAAGACAUCGAAAAAACUGCAUUUACCACACAUCUCGGGCUGUUUGAAUUCCUGGUCAUGCCAUUUGGAGUGACUAAUGGACCUCCAAGCUUCACAGAACUGAUGCACACUGUUCUGGGCCCUUUAUUAAGACACUGUGUAUUAGUUUUCUUCGAUGACAUCCUCAUAUUCAGCAAGACAUACAAGGAGCACUUGGAACACUUAGCCCUGGUCUUGGAAGCCUUGAGAAAACAUCAAUUAUAUGCAAAAAUCUCCAAGUGCACCUUUGCACAAUCCAAAGUGGAGUAUCUUGGGUAUGUGAUUACUGACAAGGGUGUCACCAUAGAUCCUGCCAAAGUAGAAGCAAUUGUUAGCUGGCCUACUCCCCAAAAUGUGACACAUUUAAGGAGUUCUUGGGACUAG
Molecule: ribosomal RNA, 495 nt
Filed under: Triticum aestivum (bread wheat)
Lineage: Eukaryota; Viridiplantae; Streptophyta; Magnoliopsida; Poales; Poaceae
Description: partial small subunit ribosomal RNA
Source: RNAcentral